Molecule: ribosomal RNA, 250 nt
Filed under: uncultured bacterium
Lineage: Bacteria
Description: partial 16S ribosomal RNA
Rfam family: Bacterial small subunit ribosomal RNA
Source: RNAcentral
UACGUAGGUGGCGAGCGUUGUCCGGAUUUACUGGGCGUAAAGAGCGCGCAGGCGGUCGUCCAAGUCGCGUGUGAAAGCCCCCGGCUCAACUGGGGAGGGUCACGCGAUACUGAUCGACUCGAAGGCAGGAGAGGGUAGUGGAAUUCCCGGUGUAGUGGUGAAAUGCGUAGAUAUCGGGAGGAACACCAGUGGCGAAGGCGACUACCUGGCCUGUUCUUGACGCUGAGGCGCGAAAGCUAGGGGAGCAAAC